AUACUUACCUGGUGUCGGAGUGUCGCCGGUCAAGACGGGCGCGCUCCCAGGGCGAGGCGCGGGCAUUGCACAGCGCCCGCGUUGACCCCUGCCACUACCCCAAACUGGGGCAGAUGGGGCAUGCAAUUUUUGGUAGUGGGGGGAACUGCGUGCGCGCUUUUCCCCC
RNAcentral lists this small nuclear RNA (166 nucleotides) under Haemaphysalis longicornis (longhorned tick). Its description in RNAcentral is "U1 spliceosomal RNA". It matches the Rfam family "U1 spliceosomal RNA". Rfam says of the family: U1 is a small nuclear RNA (snRNA) component of the spliceosome (involved in pre-mRNA splicing). Its 5' end forms complementary base pairs with the 5' splice junction, thus defining the 5' donor site of an intron. Lineage: Eukaryota; Metazoa; Arthropoda; Arachnida; Ixodida; Ixodidae. The record is from Rfam by way of RNAcentral.